UACGUAGGGUGCGAGCGUUGUCCGGAAUUAUUGGGCGUAAAGGGCUCGUAGGCGGUCUGUCACGUCGAAAGUGAAAACUCAGGGCUUAACCCUGAGCCUGCUUCCGAUACGGGCAGACUAGAGGUAUGCAGGGGAGAAUGGAAUUCCUGGUGUAGCGGUGAAAUGCGCAGAUAUCAGGAGGAACACCAGUGGCGAAGGCGGUUCUCUGGGCAUUACCUGACGCUGAGGAGCGAAAGUGUGGGGGGCGAACAGG
This 253-nucleotide ribosomal RNA is filed under the name uncultured bacterium. Its description in RNAcentral is "partial 16S ribosomal RNA". It matches the Rfam family "Bacterial small subunit ribosomal RNA", at positions 524 to 776 of the family's 1533-position model. The record is from RNAcentral.